RNAcentral lists this long non-coding RNA (652 nucleotides) under Mus caroli (Ryukyu mouse). RNAcentral's name for it is "predicted gene 43434 (MGP_CAROLIEiJ_G0002877.1)". Lineage: Eukaryota; Metazoa; Chordata; Mammalia; Rodentia; Muridae. The record is from RNAcentral.
UGCUUCCAAAACACUUGCACAGUGAGUCGUUUGCAGGCCGGGCACAGGAACCGUAGUCUCCUCAUGCCAGCCCACCUGUAAAUAAAGGAAAGUUUUAUAGAAUCACAGACUCUGAAACUGGAAAGAGGGAGCGGUGGUAUCAUUUUGGGAAGGCUGGUGUCCACUGUGCGGUACCAUUACAGACAUCAUUAAUCAAUUGUGGAACAUGGUUCUGCUGGUUCUGGUAGUUUUUCAUCAUCUGGAAGAAACAACAGUGGUCAAGAUGUUGAUGACAAUGAAGAAGCCAAAGGAGACUCUAGAAUAAGAAAAACUCACGUGUCACCAUGUAAGAUGUAAUGGCUUCCUCAAUGGACUUGGAAUUUUUGAGCCAUUAGAAAGACUCUGGCUUGGCUCCAGUGGCUUCACUUUUGGUAGCCAAACCACUGAACUCUGGGUUUCAAACACUGGAUCAGGUUACCAGUGGAUAAUGCUUUCGGAGAACACCACCACUUCCCACUUUUUCUGGAGUCAGUGUCUGUGUUUCUCUGAGAUAUGAAUCCCUGAUAUCUUGUGCAGAGCCUCCAGAUUCAGGGCUUACAAGAGAGGAAAGUGUUACCCUGGCUAGCAUGGGAUCGUGGGGAUCAGUUAAUAUGAGGCUAGCCUUGCUAGUUCA